ACUCCUACGGGAGGCAGCAGUGGGGAAUUUUGGACAAUGGGCGCAAGCCUGAUCCAGCCAUGCCGCGUGAGUGAAGAAGGCCUUCGGGUUGUAAAGGUCUUUCGCAAGGGAAGAAAACGUGUGGGCUAUAUCCUGCGCGGAUGACGGGACCUUGACGAGAAGCACCGGGUAACUACGUGGCCGCAGCCGGGGGAAUA
Molecule: ribosomal RNA, 197 nt
Filed under: uncultured bacterium
Lineage: Bacteria
Description: partial 16S ribosomal RNA
Rfam family: Bacterial small subunit ribosomal RNA
Source: RNAcentral